CUUGCAAAACUUAUAAGAGGUCCAGCCUGCCCAGUGACUCUGUUCAACGGCCGCGGUAUCCUAACCGUGCGAAGGUAGCGUAAUCACUUGUUCUUUAAAUAAGGACUAGUAUGAAUGGCACCACGAGGGUUAUACUGUCUCCCCCCUUUAAUCAGUGAAACUAAUCUCCCCGUGAAGAAGCGGGGAUACUUCUAUAAGACGAGAAGACCCUAUGGAGCUUUAAACUAACUCUUAAUUACCAUCCCCCUACUAAGCUACUGCAAAUAAUAGUCAAUCUGGUUUUAUAAGAGCUAGUUUUAGGUUGGGGUGACCACGGAGUAAAAAAUAACCUCCGAGCUGCAAGGGGAAUUAUCCUUGAACCACAAGCUACAACUUUAAGCACCAAUAAAUUGACAUCUAUUGACCCAAUAUUUUGAUCAACGAAC
This 425-nucleotide ribosomal RNA is filed under the name Lysapsus bolivianus group sp. ABGD cluster 1. RNAcentral's name for it is "partial large subunit ribosomal RNA". It matches the Rfam family "Bacterial large subunit ribosomal RNA", at positions 1822 to 2457 of the family's 2925-position model. Lineage: Eukaryota; Metazoa; Chordata; Amphibia; Anura; Hylidae. The record is from RNAcentral.